RNAcentral lists this ribosomal RNA (1003 nucleotides) under uncultured bacterium. RNAcentral describes it as "bacterial SSU rRNA". It matches the Rfam family "Bacterial small subunit ribosomal RNA", at positions 353 to 1371 of the family's 1533-position model. The record is from RNAcentral.
AGUGAGGAAUAUUGCACAAUGGGGGGAACCCUGAUGCAGCAACGCCGCGUGGAGGAUGACGCAUUUCGGUGUGUAAACUCCUUUUAUAUGUCAAGAAAAUGACGGUAGCAUAUGAAUAAGCACCGGCUAACUCCGUGCCAGCAGCCGCGGUAAUACGGAGGGUGCAAGCGUUACUAGGAAUCACUGGGCGUAAAGGACGCGUAGGCGGGUUGGUAAGUCAGAUGUGAAAUCCUACAGCUUAACUGUAGAACUGCAUUUGAAACUACUAACCUAGAGUAUGGGAGGGGGAGAUGGAAUUAGUGGUGUAGGGGUAAAAUCCGUAGAUAUCACUAGGAAUACCGAAAGCGAAGGCGAUCUCCUGGAACAUUACUGACGCUAAGGCGUGAAAGCGUGGGGAGCAAACGGGAUUAGAUACCCCGGUAGUCCACGCCCUAAACGAUGUUCACUAGUCGUCGGGAUGCUAGUCAUCUCGGUGAUGCACUUAACAGAUUAAGUGAACCGCCUGGGGAGUACGGUCGCAAGAUUAAAACUCAAAGGAAUAGACGGGGACCCGCACAAGUGGUGGAGCAUGUGGUUUAAUUCGAAGAUACGCGAAGAACCUUACCUAGCCUUGACAUUGAUAGAAUACACCAGAGAUGGAGUAGUGCCUUUCGGGGAACUUGAAAACAGGUGCUGCACGGCUGUCGUCAGCUCGUGUCGUGAGAUGUUGGGUUAAGUCCCGCAACGAGCGCAACCCUCGUCCUUAGUUGCCAGCAGGUUAAGCUGGGCACUCUAAGGAGACUGCCUUCGUAAGGAGGAGGAAGGUGAGGACGACGUCAAGUCAUCAUGGCCCUUAUGGCUAGGGCUACACACGUGCUACAAUGGGGCGUACAGAGUGUUGCGAUACCGCGAGGUGGAGCUAAUCACUUAAAGCGUCUCUCAGUUCGGAUAGCAGUCUGCAACUCGACUGCUUGAAGCUGGAAUCACUAGUAAUCGUAGAUCAGCAAUGCUACGGUGAAUACGU